Molecule: ribosomal RNA, 537 nt
Filed under: marine sediment bacterium BB0608_2216_6.2_12G0
Lineage: Bacteria
Description: bacterial SSU rRNA
Rfam family: Bacterial small subunit ribosomal RNA
Source: RNAcentral
AGCUUGCUCCCGGAUGUUAGCGGCGGACGGGUGAGUAACACGUGGGUAACCUGCCUGUAAGACUGGGAUAACUCCGGGAAACCGGAGCUAAUACCGGAUAGUUCCUUGAACCGCAUGGUUCAAGGAUGAAAGACGGUUUCGGCUGUCACUUACAGAUGGACCCGCGGCGCAUUAGCUAGUUGGUGGGGUAAUGGCUCACCAAGGCGACGAUGCGUAGCCGACCUGAGAGGGUGAUCGGCCACACUGGGACUGAGACACGGCCCAGACUCCUACGGGAGGCAGCAGUAGGGAAUCUUCCGCAAUGGACGAAAGUCUGACGGAGCAACGCCGCGUGAGUGAUGAAGGUUUUCGGAUCGUAAAGCUCUGUUGUUAGGGAAGAACAAGUGCGAGAGUAACUGCUCGCACCUUGACGGUACCUAACCAGAAAGCCACGGCUAACUACGUGCCAGCAGCCGCGGUAAUACGUAGGUGGCAAGCGUUGUCCGGAAUUAUUGGGCGUAAAGGGCUCGCAGGCGGUUUCUUAAGUCUGAUGUGAAA